GGUCCUAUAGUAUAGUGGUUAGUACGUUUGGUUUUGAUCCAAAAAUCGCUAGUUCGAACCUGGCUAGGACCU
Non-coding RNA from Clonostachys solani, 72 nucleotides. NCBI's taxonomy places the organism in Eukaryota, Fungi, Ascomycota, Sordariomycetes, Hypocreales, Bionectriaceae. The record is from the annotation of a GenBank genome assembly.